This 2762-nucleotide long non-coding RNA is filed under the name Homo sapiens (human). RNAcentral describes it as "long intergenic non-protein coding RNA 700". Lineage: Eukaryota; Metazoa; Chordata; Mammalia; Primates; Hominidae. The record is from RNAcentral.
AAUGGAGAUGCAGAGAAAGAAGGAACAUUCGCUGGGUGGAGGCACCUUAAGAGAGGUUUCGUGAAUUCUUUCUUGAGGUAGAGAAGCGCUGUGGGGAGAAAGCAUGCACUCACCAGUGCGCCGAGCAGAACCUCACCUGAAUAUGUAAAACAGUGAAGAAGGAGAGUUUUGAACAGGGCUAUUGAAGCGUGAGUUAGGUGGAUCUGAGAGACUGAUGACUGGACCUUACUGGAAAUGCCGCUGGAAGCAGGGUCAGGACGGAGCCCGCAGGAAACGCGCCUGUGUGGAUGGGCUGAGUCACGAUUUUCCCGCCUGGCAUAUAUGCUCUUAUAUUUGCUCACUGGUUUAGAGUGAGUCUAUUUGUAACAACAACAACAACAAAAAUAAAACACUUCAAAUAAACAGGACUCCUUUAUUUAUGAAGGACAGCUCUUUAUUUACGAAGGACAGCUUUACUCAGAACAUCUUGAAUGAUAAAAUCCACAGGCAGUAUGAUUUCGUUUGGUAGUUAAUGCUAUUUUCUUUUACAACAAAAUAGCUUGCCGGACUUUCUGAACAGCAUGGUGUAAGAGGUAAGAGGCAUUUUGUCUCUGCCUCUCGUCAUAAUGAUCACGGGGCACAUGGCUGUAGGAAGGGCCAUGCCCUGAAGACACAGGCAAAGUGCCUGUAAAUAAACCCUGAGUGGGCAACAUGAAUGGCCGCAGACCAGACAAAAUGAGAAUCCAGUUAAACAAGUGCAUGAAAUAUGCCCCUUAGUCCACUCAGCCUGCAACACAAAAGCACAGAACAGGCAGCUUCUAAACCACAGACAUUGACUUCCGUUCUGGAGGCCGGAAGUCCAAGAUGGAGGGUCCCGCAGAUUCCGUGUCUGAUUGUUGCAGCAGAUCCAACUGAAGGAUACACCAACCAUUUUAAUCGGACACAAAAGAACAGGCUGUCCUCACCUGACCACCACCCACAACAACCGAACUUUAAUCAGACACAAAAGAACAGGCUGUCACCUGACCACCACCCACAACAACCGAAGGGCAGGGUGAGUCCAUUUAGAGUCUCGAGAAUUUCAGACGUGCAUUCACUUUAAAGAGUCUUGCUGUGUCACCAGGCUGAUCUCGGCUCACCACAACCUCCGCCGCCCAAGUUCAAGUAAUUCUCCAGCCUCAGCCUCCCCAGUAGCUGGGACUACAGGCAUGUGCCACCAUGUCCAGCUAAUUUUUGUAUUUUUAGUAGAGACAGGGUUUCACCACGUUGGCCAGGAUGGUCUCGAUCUCUUGACCUUGUGAUCCACCUACCCCAGCCUCCCAAAGUGCUGGGAUUACAGGCGUGAGCCACCGUGCCUGGCCCUGGUUUCCUUUUUCUUAGCAAUCUUUUCUUCAAUAUACUUUUUCCAACUCUCACAUUUUACUAUGAGCAGCAAGAAGAAACCAGGCUCUUCCUUCAACAUUUUCCUUAGAGAUCUCCUCAGCUAAAUAUCCAAGUUUGUCCCCUACAGGUUAUACUUUCGACACAACAAGACACAAUUGCACCAACUUCUCUACCAUGUUGUGGCAAAGAUCAUCUCCUGCGUUUUCCAAUAGCAUGUUCCUAUUUCCGUCUGAGCCCUCCCCAGAAUCACCUUUAACAUCCAUAUGUCUACCAACUGUAUCUUCAGAACAAUUGAGUCUUCUUCUGACAUAAAUGUUAAAACUCUCUCUGCCUCUAACCGUUACCCAGUUCCAAAGCCACCCCGGCAUUGUCAGGUAUUGGUCACAGCACUUCCUUUCUCAGAACCAAAAUCUCUCUUAGCCUGCUCAGGCUUCCAGAGCACAGGAACACACACCAGGGGACUUAAAGCCAAAGAAACCCACUGUCGUAGAGUUGUGAGGUCUAGAAGUCCAAAAUCAGAGUGUUGUCAGGGCCAACCUACACCUCGUGCUGUAAAGGGGGCCCUCCCUUGCCUCUUCCUCCUCCUGGUCACCCCAGGCAUUACUCACCCUGUUGACGGGUCCUAAUCUCUGCCUCUGACUUCACGUGGAUUCUUCCUGUGUGUGCAUCUGUCUCCAAAUGUCCCCAUUUCAUAAGGGCACUUCUUUAGGCAUUUCAUUAAGGCUCACCCUAGUGAUUUCACUUUGAAUUGUUUGCUUAAGAUCACAUUUUGAGGUAGUGGGGGUUAGGCUUUCUACAUAUCUGUUUUAGAUAAAAAUUCCAAAUUCAGACAAAAUUCAACCUAUGACAAAGUCAUGCUAUUGCUAUUACAUACUCGACCUAUAACGAAGUUACACUAUUAACUCACUACUACAUACUCAGUAUAACAAACUCACUCUAAUACUCACUACUACAUACUCAGUAUAACAAAGUCAUGGUAAUACUCACUACUACAUACUUGGUAUAACAAAGUCACGCUAAUACUAACUACUACAUACUCGGUACAAAGUCAUGCUAAUACUCACUACUACAUACUUGACCUAUGACAAAGUCACACUAUUACCACUGCCCAACCAACCUAUAACGCAGUCACACUAUUACUCACUGCUACACACUCGACCUAUAAGAAAGUCAUGGUAUUACCGCUGCAUAUCCGACCUACGACAAAGUCACCCUAUUACUCACUGCUGCAUACUCAAUCCCAGAUUUACAAUCGGAAGCCUCUGCUGGUGAAAAUAUGGAAGUCAAUACUGAAUGUCCCUUUCUUUGCCAUAAAACUGCCAUCACACAGAAGAGAGAACUUACCAAGCAAUACCAACACAUUCAUUCUCCAAUAAAAUUAUUAAUUUCUUCAUUUUGUA